AACAUCCCCAUCAGAUUCUUGUCAUCUUUAAGUAGAUAUUACACUGUUGGUCAUAUCCCCUACUCGUUCAGUCGCCAAAACAUAAUAAGAGUAAAGAACUCCAAGCGUAUCAUAAAGUAAGAAACCUCACCAUCACCAGCAACGUGAUUCGUAGCAUUUGCAACAUGCUUAACAAGGCACGUUGCUUCGUAGCAUUUGCAACAUGCUUAACAAGGCUUGCACCAAUAUUCUUUACAUCUUUGAACUCGAUGCUCUUUGCCACAGUAACACCACCAAUCUUCUGAUCAAAAGUUGAAGCAUGCCACUUUUCCAGCUUCUCUGACGCAGAAAGAAUAGCAACACCGCCGCCUGCAAAGAAUUGAUGUAGUGGUUCUAGACACAAUGUCCUCCCAAAGUGGCUUCACAAAGAAUUGUCUGGGAGAGAAUAUGCAGAUAGAUGACUCGAAUGUCUAUAUAUAAUUAUACCUUUUUCCUGAAUAAUUAGUUUUAUGAAUGAUGCUCAAUCUUAUUGGCACCGGUGCAUGUUGUUAAUUGUUUGGUUUCAUAAAUUGAUUUAUUCUUUUCCUCAUCUGGGUGUGAGUGUGUAUUGCAUACCACACAUCAUUCUCGUGAUCUCGUACUCUGUUAUUACUUAACACUUACUGUGAUGUAGGGCCCUGUAAUUGGGGGACCUCUUGUCCAUCCAGCUAAGGGGGUUGUUGGUGUCAUUCACUAUAGGAAUCACCACCGAAUUGAAGCGACACCAAUUGAUGAUGUUUUGAAGUAUCUAGAGCACUUCAAGAAACAUGGGGAACAACCUCCUAAAAGAGUUUCGUGUGCUUGAUCGUAGGCUAUGGGGCUACUUUUGGAAAAGGAGUUUUGUACAUACUCUAGUAGCUAUGUAAUGGAAAACAUGCUCGAAUUGCUAAGUACUUGUCACGCAAUGUUAUGAUUUUGUGACUUUUGUAUAUAAAAAAUAAUUAAAAUAUGAAGCGCCUCAGGCCCUCAAGCAAUGUUAAGUUAUGGGUCUUUCUCUGUUUAGACUGUUUUUGUUUUUGUCGAGCGGAUUUAGUUC
This is a long non-coding RNA of Rhododendron vialii, 1054 nucleotides long. RefSeq lists it as uncharacterized. The record is from RefSeq and is a predicted model, not a curated record. Lineage: Eukaryota; Viridiplantae; Streptophyta; Magnoliopsida; Ericales; Ericaceae. The transcript has 2 exons.